UCUCCAGGAACAGGGUUGGAGUUAAAACCUACAGGACGGUAUCUCUCCAGGAACAGGGUUGGAGAUAAAACCUACAGGAGGGUAUCUCUCCAGGAACAGGGUUGGAGUUAAAACCUACAGGAGGGUAUCUCUCCAGGAACAGGGUUGGAGUUAAAACCUACAGGAGGGUAUCUCUCCAGGAACAGGGUUGGAGUUAAAACCUACAGGAGGGUAGCUCUCCA
Oncorhynchus keta (chum salmon) is the source of this 221-nucleotide long non-coding RNA. RefSeq lists it as uncharacterized. The record is from RefSeq and is a predicted model, not a curated record. The transcript is spliced from 3 exons. NCBI's taxonomy places the organism in Eukaryota, Metazoa, Chordata, Actinopteri, Salmoniformes, Salmonidae.